AAACCUCUAAAUUUUCUAAACUGUCCUAUUGAGCAGUUCUCUCUCCAGAUUCUCCAUAGGAUGUUAAGAAAAGUUCUAUGGGGAAAAAAAGGGAAGGGGAUUCAGAAUUAAGUUAGUUUAAAAGUCUUUUUCAUGAUUCUUUUAAAAAGGUGCAAAGGUGGAUUGGCAGAUUGGGAAGCUCUAAGGUGUGGGGAUGGAGGAGGGGCACUGUUCUAAACAUUUACAUGUACUACUUUAUUUAAUUUCACAAUAAUCCAAUAAAGAAGUACUAUCCAUGUUUUGCAGAUUAGAUCUCUGAAACCAAGGAGCAACUGUUGCCAAAUUACUGAGUAAAUAUCAAAGGUGGGAUCCAAAUCUAUGUCUGGAAAAGUCAAAGUCUGCGCUGCUUCAAAGUUGAGCAGGAUGGGGCAGUAGAGGCAAUGGAAAUAAGUCUAGAAGGGCACCAUCCAAUUUGGUAGCCACUAACUGCACGUGGUUAUUUCAAUUUUAAUUAAUUUUAUUUAAGUUUUAAUUAGUUAAAAUUAAUUAAAAUUUAAAAUUUGGCUUCUCAGUCACACUGGCCAUGCUUCAAAUGCACUACAGAUAGUGAAAGAGCAUCAGAAAAAUGUGUCCACAAAACAAAACUAUAGGCUAUUAUUUUAGAACAAGCUAAAAGGCAUUAACAAGAUAAUAUAUGUAAAGGAUCACACAAAUCAGAAUUAGAAAAACUAAGAAGUGAGUUGAGAGAACUUAGGAAAAAAUUAGAAAUGAAGAAAACAAUAUUAACAAAAUGAAGACUAAAGUAAAAGAAUAAAAGAGCAAAAAACUGAUAAUGGCUAAGACCAAUACAAGGCAAAACAGAAGAAGAAUAUUUAAAAAAGAUACAGUCUAGAGAAAGUAACAAGUAUUGAAAAUAGACUAAAAAGAUGAAACACAAGGAUGAUAGGAAUCCCUGAAGAAGAAAACCAAACCAAAGGAAAAAAACAAAUACUAAGAGCUAUAAUUAAAGAAGUAUUUCUUGAAUUAAAAAAAGAUUUAAAACUAGAUAUUGAAAGAUUGCUCUACAUACCUGACACUAUCAACUCAGAAAAAUCAACACCAAAGCAUAAUCUAGUAAAAUUACUGGACUUUGAAGAAUGGGGGGAAAAAUCCUUUGGGUAUUUAGAUUUUUUAAAGUGUAUAUAACUUAGAAAGAAAAUUAUAUUAUCAUCUGACAUAGUAAUCCCUUUAGGUCAGAAAAAAAUGGACAAACAAGAUAUUUAGGAAAGAUACUGUGAGCCAAGGAUUUUAUUUGAAGUGACUUUCAAGUGUAAAGGACACAGACAAACUUUUAUCAACAUACGAGAACUCAAGAAAUAUUGGUCCCAUCAGCCCUUUAUGAGGAAUCUAUAGAGAAUGAGCUUCAGACAACCAAAGUUACUGGAGAGAUAUUGGAAUAAGGAGGUGAGUGUUAACUAUAUAGACAACUCUUAUAGAACAAAAACUAAAUGAGGAACAAGGAGAGAGUGUAAUGUAUAUUAACCAUAUGAUCUGACAAUGUAGAUAUAAUAAAAAUAAAAUGAGAGGAAAGCAUAUACAAAUUUUAACAGACUUUCAAUAUUCAUAUUGGUGGUAAUAUUAGCAUUAGUAAUCUGCUGCUAUGCAUAUAAUAGGAAGUAAGACAAAUGAGUAAUCAGGGGAUAGUCUAAUUUUAUCAUCCCCUGUCAUCUUGACAACCAGGAUUUGAGGUGUAGAAGAAAGAAGUUAAUCUAAAUUCCUAAAACUAUAAUAGUUUUGAAUUUGACUUUCUCUCUCUUUACUAGCUCUUUCAACUGAGUUUUCUCUUCUCAUUAAACUAAAGAGUCAUGAGGUAUCAUUAUCCGCUGCUGCCCUUUAUAAUCUUAAGGCAAAUACUGGUACAAAAUACUCAUUUUCUACUCUAGAAAUAUUUUUUUUGAUUGAAAAAAA
This 1926-nucleotide long non-coding RNA is filed under the name Homo sapiens (human). RNAcentral describes it as "non-protein coding lnc-TFEC-8:1". The record is from RNAcentral. Lineage: Eukaryota; Metazoa; Chordata; Mammalia; Primates; Hominidae.